UAGAAAGCGUUUAUUGCGCGUGUGCGAACCGCGCCGAGGGGUGGUUGGUCGAUGGUCCGAUGUGCGAACUCGAAAAUUGCAAAUUCGGGUGAAAUAUUUCUAUGUUUUUUGCUCGAUCUCAGAUUAAACGUUAAAGAUAGUUUAUUAUUUACAUCAUCUUGAAAAAGAAAACGUGGAACUCGGGAGCUGCCACCGCUAAGCAAACGGGUGCCCGAGUCUUUUCUAGGGGCGCACAAAAACGACACGCGGUUGUCGAAAAAUGGCGAAAACCUUUCGCUCGUUGUCAGUAUUGACUUUGUUUAAUAAUGGACAGACAACGUCAAAGUUUCUUGAACCAGUUGCCCUUGUCGUUAAUUACGACCCACAAGGACUCAGCCUCGAAUUCAUCUUAGAUGAUUCUACUUUAAAAGAAAAAGUUUCAUUAUUAGAAUUUCCUGUAACUCAUACUACUGAAUGCUCUAGGGUUUCAUCCCGAAGUUAUGUUUUUACAUUGGAUACAGAUACUUUGUUAGUCACAUUUCACUCUGAUGCAGAUUUUCGAAGCUUUCAUUCGCUAAUAGUAAAAUUAAGAAAUGGAAAGUGCGGUGGUAUCUCGGCAUUUAAUGACAGAACGGAAGAGUCAUCGGCUAUGCAAUAUUUUCAAUUUUAUGGUUAUUUAUCACAGCAACAAAAUAUGAUGCAAGAUUAUAUAAGAACGAGCACUUAUCAACGUGCAAUUCUCGGCAAUUUAUCUGACUUUAAAGACAAAGUUGUAUUAGAUGUAGGUGCCGGUUCUGGUAUUUUAUCAUUUUUUGCAAUUCAAGCUGGUGCAAAAAAAGUCUAUGCUGUAGAAGCAAGCAAUAUGGCAAAUCAUGCAGAAUUAUUAGUUGCUGCUAAUAAUUUAUCGGAUAAGAUUAUAGUAAUAGCUGGAAAAAUCGAAGAAAUAGAUCUACCAGAACAUGUUGAUUGCAUAGUCAGUGAACCUAUGGGCUACAUGUUGUAUAAUGAAAGAAUGCUUGAAACUUAUCUUCAUGCCAAGAAAUGGCUAGUACCAGGUGGAAGAAUGUUUCCUUCCAGAGGAGACUUGCAUAUCGCGCCAUUUUCCGAUGAAAAUCUUUACAUGGAACAAUUUAAUAAAGCCAAUUUCUGGUAUCAAACAUGUUUCCAUGGUGUAGAUCUCUCUGCAAUGAGAAGUAAUGCAGUUAAAGAAUAUUUCCGCCAACCUAUUGUUGAUACCUUUGAUAUAAGAAUUUGUAUGGCUAAAUCUGUUAGGCAUAUCGUAGAUUUCCAGACAGCUAAAGAGACUGAUUUACAUAAAAUAGCUAUAGAUGUUGACUUUCACAUAUUAGAAAGUGGUACAUGCCAUGGUCUUGCAUUCUGGUUUGACGUGGCGUUUAUUGGUAGUGCUCAACAAGUUUGGUUAAGUACUGCUCCUACAGAACCUCUUACACAUUGGUAUCAAGUGCGUUGUCUUCUUGAAAAUCCAUUGUUUUGUAAAAGUGGCCAGCUACUUUCGGGAAAAGUAAUUCUUAUUGCUAACAAAAGGCAAUCUUAUGAUGUGACAAUAGAACUCAAAUUAGAAGGGACAAAUUUGGAAAGCAGUAGUAAUACCUUAGACCUAAAAAACCCUUACUUUAGGUAUACAGGAGCAGCAGCGCAACCGCCCCCUGGUUUAAAUAAUACUUCACCUAGUGAAUCUUAUUGGAAUUCUCUGGAUGCACAAGGUGCUCGGCAAGCUGUGAACAUGGUUAAUGGCAUGUCAGUUAAUGGUCUUGGUGAGGUUUCAAUGGAUACUAGCGCUGCAGUAAAUGCCAGUAAUUUACUUGCUAUUGGUGGUCAACCGAAUAUUCACCCAGGUUCGAUAACAAGUACUGGACGUGGCCGAGUAGGUGGUACAGCUACAAGUACACAAGCAGCACAAUUGAUAGGUGGUGGAAUAACACCCAAUAUGUUCACAUCUCCAGCUACUCUUGGUGUUACUUUCCAGCAAUCGCUGGUCCUUGGAAAUACGUCACAUUAUCCAGUAAAUCCAAGUUUAAUGAUUGGUGAUUAUGUGACACCUGGAAACGGCAUAUCACCUCAGACUUACCGGCAAUGAUCUAUGGCAAAAUCUUUUUGCACUGAAUAUUCUCGCAAAGUAAAACAAUUACAGAAUGAUCCUCGCCAUAGUAAUUCUAGCAACGUUGGUGACAAGGGCAACAGUAAACAAAGCCCGGUAACAGUGUCGCUUAUUUGAGUAAGCCUACAAUUGAUUCUGUAUUUGGAUUUGGUUGGGGUUCUGGAAGGAAUAAUUCUCAAUGGGAGGCACGUUGGAGGAGAUUGCGAGCCAUCCCCUCGUAGCUGUCAAUAUUUUGUACUGUCAUCUUUUAUUUCAUCGUCCUUUGAAGAUCGGAUCUUCCAGAUUGAAGUGCACGCUUGCCAAAUAUAUCCAGGAAGAUAUAAUAUUUUUUAACGACAAUACAGUUUACCAUAUGCAGCGUUCUACGCCUUACUAUUUUACCAAGUCCUGACAUGGUCUAUGCAUCAGUAAUUUGUAAGGAAUUGUAGACUGAUCAUAAAUCGUGUUGUGAUUUCUUGUUUUUUUCUUUAAAAGACUUUAAAACUUUUAGUACCAGCAAGAUAUCGGAGAUUGUACAUCGAUUAGUUGUUGGCAUAACUGGUUUUCAAUAUCAAAUGACUUUUACACAACUCGUAGAAUAGAAAACAACAUUUUUAACAUUUUGCAAAGUGCAAAGAGCAAUAAUCUGAUAAGCAUACAAUAUUAAGCACUCUGUGGCAGAAUUUAUUAUAUAAUUACAUACAA
Molecule: unclassified non-coding RNA, 2782 nt
Filed under: Polistes fuscatus (common paper wasp)
Lineage: Eukaryota; Metazoa; Arthropoda; Insecta; Hymenoptera; Vespidae
Description: histone-arginine methyltransferase CARMER, transcript variant X1
Source: RNAcentral